Molecule: long non-coding RNA, 516 nt
Organism: Mercenaria mercenaria
Lineage: Eukaryota; Metazoa; Mollusca; Bivalvia; Venerida; Veneridae
Exons: 3
Source: RefSeq, a predicted model, not a curated record
GGGCGAUGCAUUUUACGAAAAAUUUGAUCCGAACAAUGUCAGUAACUCGUAUAAACGCCCCCCUGUUUAUCCCAAUUCAUGCACUGACAUAACCCGAUACGUAAUCGUACUGGGAAUCUGUGUAAAGUCGCGCGCUGAGUGACAUCAUCCGAGUUAAAUUCGAUCAAUACUGUAGCGUUUAUAGCGUGGCAUAUUCAGUACUUUGAUACACACAGUAGAUUUAUUUGUGCCAUGCCUGUUGACGUGUUUAAAAGUUUGUGUUAAUAAAGUGUAUUUUUUUUUUUGAAAUUCAUUUGUAUUGUUAUGGAAUUGUUAUUAUCUGGAUAUUAUUGUGUUUGAUCUAGGACCAAUUUUUGAAGCUCAUUUGGCAGCCCUAUGCACAAACAAAUUUGGAAGGAGACUUUUCAAGGAACAUCCUCAGUUUCAUCAACUUUGGUGUAGAUGGACGGACGACAGACAGCUGCUGGACAGUAUUAAGAAAGCGCAUGAAGACAGAAACAACAAGCAGAGACAGAG